GUCUUUUUGAUUAUAAUUUGAAGUCUAACCUGCCCACUGAAUUUUUUGAAGGGCCGCGGUAUUUUGACUGUGCAAAGGUAGCAUAAUCAUUAGUCUUUUAAUUGGAGGCUUGUAUGAAUGGUUGGAUGAGGUAUUAACUGUCUCAAUUUAAUAAAUAAUAGAAUUUUAUUUUUAAGUUAAAAAGCUUAAAUUUAAUUAAAAGACGAGAAGACCCUAUAGAUCUUUAUAAUUUAUUGUAUAAUAAUUUUUUAGGUAAAAUUUAUUUUUAUAUAAUUAAUUAUUUUAUUGGGGUGAUAAAAAAAUUUAUAAAACUUUUUUUGUGUAUAAACAGUGAUAUUUGAUUAAUUGAUCCAUUUUUUGUGAUUAUAAGAUUAAGUUACCUUAGGGAUAACAGCGUAAUUUUUUUGGAGAGUUCUUAUCGAUAAAAAAGAUUGCGACCUCGAUGUUGAAUUAAAGGUUAAUUUUAGGUGUAGAAGUUUAAAAUUUUGGUCUGUUCGACCAUUAAAUC
This 508-nucleotide ribosomal RNA is filed under the name Parachauliodes japonicus. RNAcentral describes it as "partial large subunit ribosomal RNA". The stretch from base 387 to 508 matches the Rfam family "Bacterial large subunit ribosomal RNA", at positions 2473 to 2594 of the family's 2925-position model. The record is from RNAcentral. Lineage: Eukaryota; Metazoa; Arthropoda; Insecta; Megaloptera; Corydalidae.